Molecule: ribosomal RNA, 1443 nt
Filed under: Campylobacter coli
Lineage: Bacteria; Pseudomonadati; Campylobacterota; Epsilonproteobacteria; Campylobacterales; Campylobacteraceae
Description: partial 23S ribosomal RNA
Rfam family: Bacterial large subunit ribosomal RNA
Source: RNAcentral
GAAAGGCCAAUCAAACUUCGUGAUAGCUGGUUCUCUCCGAAAUAUAUUUAGGUAUAGCGUUGUGUCGUAAUAUAAGGGGGUAGAGCACUGAAUGGGCUAGGGCAUACACCAAUGUACCAAACCCUAUCAAACUCCGAAUACCUUAUAUGUAAUCACAGCAGUCAGGCGGCGAGUGAUAAAAUCCGUCGUCAAGAGGGAAACAACCCAGACUACCAGCUAAGGUCCCUAAAUCUUACUUAAGUGGAAAACGAUGUGAAGUUACUUAAACAACCAGGAGGUUGGCUUAGAAGCAGCCAUCCUUUAAAGAAAGCGUAAUAGCUCACUGGUCUAGUGAUUUUGCGCGGAAAAUAUAACGGGGCUAAAGUAAGUACCGAAGCUGUAGACUUGCGCACAACUUAGAUUAUUUAAGUUUAGAAUAUGAGAAACUAAGUUAUAUGUUUAGUUAUAUUUUUACUGAUUUUUAUAGAGUAAAGAUAGAAAUAAAACUUAGUAAAAUCAGUAAAAAUAUUCUUAGACUAAAGUUAAGUAGUUUAAGUUGUGUGCAAGUGGUAGGAGAGCGUUCUAUUUGCGUCGAAGGUAUACCGGUAAGGAGUGCUGGAGCGAAUAGAAGUGAGCAUGCAGGCAUGAGUAGCGAUAAUUAAUGUGAGAAUCAUUAACGCCGUAAACCCAAGGUUUCCUACGCGAUGCUCGUCAUCGUAGGGUUAGUCGGGUCCUAAGUCGAGUCCGAAAGGGGUAGACGAUGGCAAAUUGGUUAAUAUUCCAAUACCAACAUUAGUGUGCGAUGGAAGGACGCUUAGGGCUAAGGGGGCUAGCGGAUGGAAGUGCUAGUCUAAGGUCGUAGGAGGUUAUACAGGCAAAUCCGUAUAACAAUACUCCGAGAACUGAAAGGCUUUUUGAAGUCUUCGGAUGGAUAGAAGAACCCCUGAUGCCGUCGAGCCAAGAAAAGUUUCUAAGUUUAGCUAAUGUUGCCCGUACCGUAAACCGACACAGGUGGGUGGGAUGAGUAUUCUAAGGCGCGUGGAAGAACUCUCUUUAAGGAACUCUGCAAAAUAGCACCGUAUCUUCGGUAUAAGGUGUGGUUCGCUUCGUAUUAGGAUUUACUCCGAAAGCGAAGAAACUUACAACAAAGAGUCCCUCCCGACUGUUUACCAAAAACACAGCACUCUGCUAACUCGUAAGAGGAUGUAUAGGGUGUGACGCCUGCCCGGUGCUCGAAGGUUAAUUGAUGGGGUUAGCAUUAGCGAAGCUCUUGAUCGAAGCCCGAGUAAACGGCGGCCGUAACUAUAACGGUCCUAAGGUAGCGAAAUUCCUUGUCGGUUAAAUACCGACCUGCAUGAAUGGCGUAACGAGAUGGGAGCUGUCUCAAAGAGGGAUCCAGUGAAAUUGUAGUGGAGGUGAAAAUUCCUCCUACCCGCGGCAAGACGGAAAGACCCCGUGGACCUU